AGAGUUUGAUCAUGGCUCAGAUUGAACGCUGGCGGCAUGCUUUACACAUGCAAGUCGAACGGCAGCACAGGGAGCUUGCUCCCGGGUGGCGAGUGGCGCACGGGUGAGUAAUACAUCGGAACGUGUCCUGUUGUGGGGGAUAACUGCUCGAAAGGGUGGCUAAUACCGCAUGAGACCUGAGGGUGAAAGCGGGGGAUCGCAAGAUCUCGCGCAAUUGGAGCGGCCGAUGCCCGAUUAGCUAGUUGGUGAGGUAAAGGCUCACCAAGGCGACGAUCGGUAGCUGGUCUGAGAGGACGACCAGCCANACUGGGACUGAGACACGGCCCAGACUCCGUACGGGAGCA
RNAcentral lists this ribosomal RNA (344 nucleotides) under uncultured bacterium. Its description in RNAcentral is "bacterial SSU rRNA". It matches the Rfam family "Bacterial small subunit ribosomal RNA", at positions 8 to 349 of the family's 1533-position model. The record is from RNAcentral.